RNAcentral lists this long non-coding RNA (203 nucleotides) under Nicotiana benthamiana. RNAcentral's name for it is "long non-coding RNA (NBEN_LNC000122)". Lineage: Eukaryota; Viridiplantae; Streptophyta; Magnoliopsida; Solanales; Solanaceae. The record is from RNAcentral.
ACAGAAAUAAGUACAGCUGAAACUUGAAAGCCAAGUCAUAUGUCAUUUUGAGUCACAUCAAAGCGAGUUGGUGAGUAAUACUGGUUAUCAGUUGAAGGUACAAUCACGUCAAUGUUGAUGAUGCAUGCAACAGACACAUACUGCAAUACAGCAGAGUAAAUCAAGUUCCUUUUUUUAAAAGGAACAGGAAGAGAAGGGGAGGG